This 253-nucleotide ribosomal RNA is filed under the name uncultured bacterium. RNAcentral's name for it is "partial 16S ribosomal RNA". It matches the Rfam family "Bacterial small subunit ribosomal RNA", at positions 524 to 776 of the family's 1533-position model. The record is from RNAcentral.
UACGGAGGGUGCAAGCGUUAUCCGGAUUUACUGGGUUUAAAGGGUGCGUAGGUGGGUCGGUAAGUCAGCGGUGAAAUCUUCGAGCUUAACUCGGAAACUGCCAUUGAUACUAUCGAUCUUGAAUCGUCUAGAGGUAAGCGGAAUAUGUCAUGUAGCGGUGAAAUGCUUAGAUAUGACAUAGAACACCAAUUGCGAAGGCAGCUUACUAUGGAUGUAUUGACACUGAGGCGCGAAAGCGUGGGGAUCAAACAGG